RNAcentral lists this ribosomal RNA (494 nucleotides) under uncultured bacterium. RNAcentral's name for it is "partial 16S ribosomal RNA". It matches the Rfam family "Bacterial small subunit ribosomal RNA", at positions 28 to 507 of the family's 1533-position model. The record is from RNAcentral.
GACGAACGCUGGCGGCGCGCUUAACACAUGCAAGUCGAACGGAAAGGCCUGCUUUCCCUUGUGGAUUGCGGGUACUCGAGUGGCGAACGGGUGAGUAACACGUGAGUGAUCUGCCCCCAACUUGGGUAUAAGCCUGGGAAACUGGGUCUAAUUCCCGAUAGGACUGCAGGGUGGUGCCUGUGGUGGAAAACGAUUUUCUAGUGGAUGGGGAUGAGCUCGCGGCCUAUCAGCUUGUUGGUGGGGUAAUGGCCUACCAAGGCGGCGACGGGUAGCCGGCCUGGGAGGGUGGACGGCCACAUUGGGACUGAGAUACGGCCCAGACUCCUACGGGAGGCAGCAGUGGGGAAUAUUGCACAAUGGGCGGAAGCCUGAUGCAGCGACGCCGCGUGGGGGAUGACGGCCUUCGGGUUGUAAACUCCUUUCGACCGCGAGGAAGCCACCUGGUUGGAAGGGUGGUGACGGUAGUGGUAGAAGAAGCACCGGCUAACUACGUG